This 253-nucleotide ribosomal RNA is filed under the name uncultured bacterium. RNAcentral's name for it is "partial 16S ribosomal RNA". It matches the Rfam family "Bacterial small subunit ribosomal RNA", at positions 524 to 776 of the family's 1533-position model. The record is from RNAcentral.
UACAGAGGGUGCAAGCGUUGCUCGGAAUUACUGGGCGUAAAGCGUGCGCAGGCGGUUUUGUAAGUCAGAUGUGAAAUCCCCGGGCUUAACCUGGGAACUGCGUUUGAAACUACAAGGCUAGAGUGUGGCAGAGGGGGGUGGAAUUCCACGUGUAGCAGUGAAAUGCGUAGAGAUGUGGAGGAACACCGAUGGCGAAGGCAGCCCCCUGGGUUAACACUGACGCUCAGGCACGAAAGCGUGGGGAGCAAACAGG